GGCCCGGCCUCCGGCCCUGGAAGGCGGCAGAAAGGAGACAAAACCUCUGUCUUUCUAGGCCGAAGGCCUGAGUUCCAGCAUCCUGGGUCCCCACGCGUCGGGGUCUGGGGCCAAGACCGCCCACAGUCGGCGCCCAAGCCCAAGACGCCCAUCCCGGACCUGGCCUUCCCGCCAGGGCCCGCGCGCAGCUGGGAGCUGUUUAUUUAUGGCUGCAAAUGUGUGUGUUCAAGAGAGAGAGGGAAUUGAUCUUUGCCUGGACUUAAAGAUGGAGCCGAAGAAGCUGGAGGGAAUUUGGGCUUGUGCGUCUGGCCCAGACCCUGUGCGCCGAGCCCGAGGUCUAUCCUCCCCGCACCUCUCACCUCGCGACCUUGCAGGAAUCCGCGGGCCCGGAUGCUGCCCAGCUGACCCUCCUGCCCCGGGCCUGGCUGCAGAGAAAGUCUUCGGGCAGGAGGCCAUCCUGUUCCUGUCUUUAAAAUGAGCACAAUAAAAGGGGGCAAAUCCUCGAACGCGAACCUGAUCUCAUGUCACAGAAGCAACUUGCCAUGAAAUCCGCUAAUGCGCUGCGACUCGCCCACCAGGGCAGCGUGCGGCGGCCGAACUGCACCUGCGUUUGUGAGCCUUGUAGAAAUGGAGCCCACCGGAUUCCCUCACCCGGAGAAAUGCCCAAACUGAAACUUGACUACACUUCCCUGGGCUGGUUCACGGUUUCAUAAUCUCCCAGGUUUGCUGGCUGUGUCACCAAAUCCAAGCCAAACCUGCUAUAAACAUGAUCACAGGCCACUGACCUCGCAGCACUGACCGAUAACUCGGUGGCAAAAUCAGCUCCUCUGGUCAGAGGUUAUUAAAGCAGCGGCUGAAUUCGUGUUUGUUU
Molecule: long non-coding RNA, 871 nt
Filed under: Homo sapiens (human)
Lineage: Eukaryota; Metazoa; Chordata; Mammalia; Primates; Hominidae
Description: novel transcript
Source: RNAcentral